This 84-nucleotide transfer RNA is filed under the name Candidatus Omnitrophota bacterium. RNAcentral's name for it is "tRNA-Leu". It matches the Rfam family "tRNA". From Rfam's summary of the family: Transfer RNA (tRNA) molecules are approximately 80 nucleotides in length. Lineage: Bacteria; Pseudomonadati; Candidatus Omnitrophota. The record is from RNAcentral.
GGGGAUAUGGCGGAACUGGCAGACGCGCUAGCUUCAGGAGCUAGUGGUCGAAAGACCGUGAGAGUUCAAAUCUCUCUAUCCCCA